Molecule: ribosomal RNA, 253 nt
Filed under: uncultured bacterium
Lineage: Bacteria
Description: partial 16S ribosomal RNA
Rfam family: Bacterial small subunit ribosomal RNA
Source: RNAcentral
UACAGAGGUCUCAAGCGUUGUUCGGAUUCAUUGGGCGUAAAGGGUGCGUAGGCGGCGCGGUAAGUCGGGUGUGAAAUUUCGAGGCUUAACUUCGAAACUGCAUUCGAUACUGCCGUGCUUGAGGACUGGAGAGGAGACUGGAAUUUACGGUGUAGCGGUGAAAUGCGUAGAUAUCGUAAGGAAGACCAGUGGCGAAAGCGGCGCGCUGGACCUCUUCUGACGCUGAGGCGCGAAAGCCAGGGGAGCAAACGGG